AGAUCUAUAGCGAAAAACCUUACCGCAGAGGAAGAAUUGGUUUUUGCUGCCUUUAAGUACCUGGGGGUGUGCCGAUAAUAAAAGGGGGUUAAGUAGUGGGGGUAGGAGGUGGGGGGGCAGCUGGGGCUGGUAACGCAGCUGGGCAGAUGCCAAAAAAAGCAGAACAAAACACGUUUUCGUUUUGUCUGCACCAGCCUGCGACAGAGAGCGAGAGAUGCACAGUGAAAAAGCUGCUGUGCUCGGAAACGGGCCUACAGCUACUUUGGAAGCCUCGGCAAUAAUUCUGUCCCUUCCUCGCCUUCACCCUGCCCACUCUGGCUCGACUGCCAAGUCGGAGAGUUGGCACGGCUUCCCAGGCAGCGCGGAACAAAGCCGUCACCCAUCCCUGAACAGGCGCUGACGGCAGGCUAAGUGACAGGCGCAUCUUCUGCAUGUUAAUCCAAGGGGUGAGAAGGAGAGAGCAAAAUCCACCGGCUCCCCUGCCACCGGCCACUCCUUUCCAACCCAAGCCCCGGUGGGCCCCGUGCACAGUUCGGAAGGCAGGAGCCCUGGAGAAACAGAGCUGGCCACACCGGCAAGUCAAGCAAACAAACAAGCGCAGGAUUUAAAUACAAACCACCACCCGACCCAGCAGCACCCUGGCAAACAAGGCCGCUCGGCAUCUGCUGUACCUGUUCCCGCUGCCUUCAUCUCGCCUUGGAACCGUGACAAGAGAGAAGCGUCGCCUCUGGUGGGCUCUCACAGCCUCGGGUCUGCAACCCUGUGCAGGAAGUUGGCACCGAUCCCAGCUAAAGGCUUUUGAUAACAGCUGAGCAGCAACAGAGAAUGGGCGAGACUCACCCUUCAGAUUCCAGGUAAAAGGUGAGAGAAGAGAGUCACUAUUCAAACACUGGCUGCUCAUUUGCCCACUAGGUGGGAGAGGACAAACUCUGAGACAUGUUCUCAUAGGUGCCUAUUCUCUGUACUGAUUCUCUGGGGAACUGGGUAUCUUUAUGUAGCUAUAGCAUCACCUCCAAUCCCCACUUUGCAGCUGGCUCUGCCCUCUCCAGAAUGGACUGACACCUAAAUUCUUCCAGUGUUUGGGAUUCCAAGCCCAGAUCACCAGAGGUAUUUUAGACUCCUAAAUUUGAUUUCAGGUGUAUCGGAUUCAUUUUGCUCAACCUGUACUCGGCCUAGUCAGUUUCCUAUGUGGCAAAGUUGGCCCAGAAUCAAAGAAAUGCAGGGCCUGGAAGGGACCUGGAGAGGUCAUCUAGUCCACCUCCCUGCACUGAAAGCAAGACCAUGUAUACCUAGACCACCCCCAUCGGUCGCUGAAAGGCUUAACAGAAGGAAUCUGAAUUUCCAGCAGUCACUCCCCUUUGGAAUAACACUGACUGACCUUAAAUAAGGAAGCUUCAGAUGACUGGAAAGCUGAUAGAGCUGGGGUUUACUAAUAAAUGAAUGCACCACAUUAAAGACAACGAUGAAACUC
Long non-coding RNA from Mauremys reevesii (Reeves's turtle), 1471 nucleotides. RefSeq lists it as uncharacterized. The transcript is spliced from 2 exons. The record is from RefSeq and is a predicted model, not a curated record. Lineage: Eukaryota; Metazoa; Chordata; Testudines; Geoemydidae.